This is a long non-coding RNA of Dreissena polymorpha, 5145 nucleotides long. RefSeq lists it as uncharacterized. The transcript is spliced from 2 exons. NCBI's taxonomy places the organism in Eukaryota, Metazoa, Mollusca, Bivalvia, Myida, Dreissenidae. The record is from RefSeq and is a predicted model, not a curated record.
AGACAUUAGAGAUCACAGUUUUCAUCCAACCUUUAUGAAAUUUGGUCAGAAUUCUUGAUGAAAUCUGGGUGGGAUUGUAUUUGGGUCAUCUGGGUUAAAAAUCUAGGUCAAAUAAAUAGAAAAACCUUGUGUUGACAAUAGAGGUCACAGUUUUCAUCCAAUAUUUAUGAACUGUGGUCAGAAUGUUUGUCUUGAUGAAAUCUGGAUUGGGAUUGUAUUUGGGUCAUCUAGAGUCAGGAACUAGGUCACUAGGUCAAAUCAUAGAAAAACAUUGUGUAGACAAUAGAGGUCAUAGUUUUCAUCUGAUCUUAAUGAGUCAGGUGAGCGAUUCAUGGCCAUCAUGGCCCUCUUGUAUAGUAACACCAGUUAAGUGUCCAAUAUCAAUUUGUCAUUAAGAAAUUAGAUUUCUAGAGUUUGUUACAGACUUAUUCUCAUUAAAGUUGAGACAAUUUCCAACAUGAAUUCCACUGGAAACAAAUGGACUUUAAAUUAUAAACACAUUUCAAAUGAACAUCACAAUCAAACAUUGUUGUUCUUUCUCAAAUGUGUGCUAUGUCAAUUAUUCUUAUAUAUAUAUAUAUAUAUUAUUUACUUUUUUAUUAAAGACCAAAUAUGCCAUUGUUCUGUUUGCAACGAAUUCCGUUUAUUGACAUUUCUGAUAUGAACUUGGUCAUGUGAAAAUGGGUCUUGUGCUAGCAUGCACAUCUGCACAGGCUUGUUAGGAGCUCCAUCUAGUUGUUUGUAAAUAAUUUCUUUUAUUGUGAAGCUUGCAUUUUUGUGUCAUGAGAAAUGUUAACCCUUUCCCACUCAGAAGCAAAGUGAAAAUGGCUAUGUGCAAACAGCAUAAAAUCAGAACAGCCUGCGAGUAACUUGCAGUCUGUUCAGGUUUUAUGCUGUUUGCUGCUCAUCAGUAUCUAAGGGUUAGAAAUAAAGCCUUUAAAACUUGAAUAUAGUAAGAAAGGUCUUUAAUUAUAUUUAACUUUCUCUGGGACUACACAUGCAUCAAAACACAAAAAGGGUAAAGUAGAGAUUAUAUGAGCCAGUCUUGUGAGCAGCCACCCUUUCAUAAACAACAUGCAAUGUUUUGUGGUCUCAUUAUCAAACAGGUCAGCUCCUGACCAAACUGCGCUGGCUGGACUGGAGCUACACUGGCUGCAUAUGCAAUAAGACCCAUGUUCUCAUAUUAGUUGAGAUUAUCUUUGUUGUGAGAAAGUGCGGCACUGAGGUUUUGAAUGCUCAUUAACAUCUGCGUUUUGUUAUAAGACAGUAAUAUAUUUAUUCUUUUGUGAUAUUAUGUUUUUUACUGUGUCUUGUGUCUGUAUCUACCACUAAGAAGUCUUCUUGUACAUUAAAAAUUAAGUUACAUUUUUAGCUCACCUGUCACGAAUUGACAUGGUGAGCUUAUGUGACAGUGUGAUGUCCGACGUCCGUGCAUGCGUCCGUCAACAAUUUGUUUGUGUAGACAGUAGAGUUCACAGUUUCCAUCCAAUCUUUAUGAAAUUUGGUCAGAAUGUUUAUCUAGAUGAAAUCUGGGUUGGGAUUGUAUUUGGGUCAUCUGGGGUCAAAAACUAGGUCACUAUGUCAAAAACUAGGUCACAUAAUAGGUCAAAUAAUAGAAAAACCUUGUAUAGACAAUAGAGGUCGCAGUUUUCAUCCAAUCUUUAUGAAAUUUUGUGAGAUUGUUUAUCUUAAUAAAAUCUAGGUUGGGAUUGUAUUUGGGUCAUUGGGGGUCAACAGCUAGGUCACUAGGUCAAAAACUAGGUCAAAUAAUAGAAAAACCUUGUGUAGACAGUAGAGGUCACAGUUUUCAUCCAAUCUUUAUGAAAUUUGGUUAGAAUGUUUAUCUUGAUGACAUCUGGGUUGGGGUUGUAUUUAGGUCAUCUGGGGUCAAAAACUAGGUCACUAGGUCAAAACCUAGGUCAAAUAAUAGGAAAACCUUGUGUAGACAGUAGAGGUCACAGUUUUCAUCCAAUCUUUAUGAAAUUUAGUCAGAAUGUUUAUCUUGAUAAAAUCUGGGUUGGGAUUGUAUUUGGGUCAUCUGGGGUCAAAACUAGGUCACUAGGUCAAAUAAUAGAAAAACCUUGUGUUGACAAUAGAGGUCACAGUUUUCAUCCAAUCUUUAUAAAAUUUGAUCAGAAUGUUUAUCUUGAUGAAAUCUGGGUUGGGAUUGUAUUUGGGUCACCUGGGGUCAAAAAACUAGGUCACUAGGUCAAAUAAUAGAAAAACCUUGUGUAGACAAUAGAGGUCACAGUUUUCAUCUAAUCUUUAUAAAAUUUGGUCAGAAUGUUUAUCUUGAUGAAAUCUGGGUUGGGAUUGUAUUUGGUUAGUCAGGUGAGCGAUUCAGGGUCAUCAUGGCCCUCUUGUUGUGAACUUUAUUUUGAUCACCCAUUGCAAAACUAUGUGGAUUCCGCAUCUUUUGAAUAAGCAUUGUAAUGCAGUGAGCAUUAGUGUUGUUGUUUUUUCACUAUUUUGUUUUACAUGUGUAUUGUUUUGUAUGUUUUUUUAUGCCCCUGAUGUUGAGAGACGUAUAGGGAUUGGCCUGUCUGUUCUUUUGUCCACCCUUAUGAGGUUAACCUUAAAUGAUAUGGGCCGUGCUAUGUGUAAAAUGGGUUUAAUGCAUAGGUGUCAAGUGUCGUCUCAGAUAAGCCUGUGCAGUCUGCACAGGCUUAUCAGGGACGACACUUUCCGCAAUUAUGGUAUUUUUUGUUUAAAGAAAGUUUCAUCUAAGCAAAAAUCCAGUUUAUGCAGAAAAUGUCAUCCAUAAUUGGCCUGUGUGGAAAGUCCACACAGGCUAAUCCGCAACGACACUUUACGCACAUGCAUUAAACCCCCUUUUCACAGAGCACGGCUUAUAUGUUUCUUUGAAAAUCAAGAAACUAUGAUACUUGUAUGGAUGUUAACAAAGAGCACUCUCAACACACCUUCAUCAGCUGACCAAAUUUUGACCUUGACACUGACUUUCUAAUGGACUUAUUCAAAGGUCCACAUUCUUGGUUAACCCUAAAUGAUUGGUUUGGUUAAAGAUCACUUAUGCCAUCAACAAAGCUUUGAUGCUUACAUAAAUGAUGUCUUUGAAUACUAUACAAAUAAAUCACCUGUAUGUCUAAUCUUUGGGUUGACCUACUUUUGGUCUAAGACUCAUUCAGAAGGUCAAAAUUGUUGGUUAACCCAAAUCAACUGGUUUUGUCGCAGGUCCUCGUGGUGUAGUGGAUAUGGUGUCCGCCUAGUGAUCUGGAGGUCACGGGUUUGAUCCCCACUGUUGGAGCAUUCUUUAGAUUUCUCCCAAAGACACCAAGUACAGAUUCUAGUGCCAGGAAACGGACUUAAGAGCGUUUCAAAUAAGCCUUAGGCUUUCUGUGCAAUAUUGAGCUAAAAUGAAUAGGUUUAAACUACAUUGUAAACUGGUUUGUCAAGCAUCAAAGACUUCUUAAAAAGCUUUUACACUUGCAUGGAUGAUCCUACACACCCACAUCACAUUUGGACCUACAGAUACUAUACAUUUGGACCUAUUCCGAAGUCAAAAGUAUUGGUUAACCCAAAUUGACCAUUUGUGUCACAUUUAUAGUUCUUACUCAACUCUCAGAGCACUCACAACUCCUGACCUUAUCGUGACCUUGACCUAAUUUUGGACAUAAACAUAUACAUAUAAUGCAGAUUAUGAUACUGAUAAGACCCCACUAGGAGCAUCUGCGUUUUUUUAAUGCAGCAUCUUGUUAAUAAAUCGUCUAUAUAUUGUACAAACACAAGUUAUAAUUCACCAGAAUAGUUGUCCUUCUGAUUAUUUAAACAAAUUAUAUUUAGCUUAACCCUUUCAGUGCGGGAACCGAGUUUUAAAGGCCUUUGCAAACAGUUUGGAUCCAGAUGAGACGCCACAGAACGUGGCGUCUCAUCAGGAUCCAAACUGUUUGCUAUUCUGAUAGUAUUCUUUGAAAAAAAUCGAAGAAAAUGCUAAUUUUAGAAAUUCUGCAGACGACAUUUUAGCAGACGACAAAUUUCCCAGCAUGCAAAGGGUUAACAUGCACAUGUUCAUUCCAAAAUGUUGUAAAAAUGAUAGAAUUCUGUGUUGACCACUGUGCAGCUGAAAUUCUUUUGUAGGGUAUAUUUUCAAUUGUAUUUGUAAGCUUUCUGUUAACACAUUUAUUGCUCUUAAUUUAAGAUCAAUUUGUUGAUUUGUUUAUUAAAAAAGAUGUAUGUACCUAAAUGUUGUUGUGUUCUUUUCACAUGCAGUCAACUAAAGGAUGGUGGUGUUUGCUGAUAUAUGUUAUUGGUAUGCUUUACAAAAUAUUUUAUUUUAGAAUUGCCAGAUUUGUGAUAUUUGCUGUUUGAACAAUUUUGUAAAUUAUAAAGGGCUAGUGUUAGGUUGUAUUUGUGUGAGAUACUGAUUAGAAGAGCAAUGUCCCUUGAAGUUUAGGUUUUGUUUGUACUUGGAAUAAGGUUCUAAAAAAUAUUUUGUUUGAAAAAUAAUGUUAAUACAUGAAAUUUGUUGAUAAACAAAGGGCUUGUUUGUUUAGAAUCGUUAUAUGUUUUUCUAAGUCCCUUGUUUGUUUUCCUUCAUGUGAUGUUUUUCCCUUGUCAUCAAAAAAUUACCUUGUGAACACUCUAGAGGCCACAUGUAUUUCCCAAUCUUCAUAAAAGUAGUUCAGAAUGUUUUUACUUAUAUCUUGCUUGAGUUCAAAACUGGAUAACAUAGGGUAAAAAAACUAGAACAGAGGGAACAAUUCAAGAAAAAGCUUGUAAACAGUCCAGAAAUCACAUAUUGGCCCAGAUUCCAUGAAAAUUGGUCGAACAAUUGUCAGAUUGUUAUCUUGGUAGAGGUAGCAUCUAGGUCACAAACUGGUCACCAGGUAACAUGAAAGUACUGGUAAUGGCUUGUGAACAAUCUGUAAGUUUCAUUGUCUUGACAACUCUAGUUUCUUAUGAUAUCUCAACCAAAAUGGUUCCAAACAUGUGUUCAAAUGAUACCAUUGCCAAAUAUAUGUAUUAUUUAUCAUGAUGUCUCGUCAGAGCGAGAAAAUAAAUUCGGUCCGGUGAAAAACAUGGCUACAACAGGGCACAGCAGUUUUCCUUACAUUAUGUCUUCAGUGAAUUUUGUGGAAACCUUUAAGUCAUUUGUGAUUGCCCAAUCAAAAUAAAACUUGAUCAAAA